Molecule: long non-coding RNA, 1557 nt
Organism: Apis cerana (Asiatic honeybee)
Lineage: Eukaryota; Metazoa; Arthropoda; Insecta; Hymenoptera; Apidae
Source: RefSeq, a predicted model, not a curated record
UUUAUUAAGAGUUAUCUCGAAUAUGUUUUUUGUAGUAAUUUAUUGCUCUGAACACUGGCUGUUGGCAUUCUUUUCUAUACGAUUCGCGCGGUUUAUGCGCAAGACGUAUGCGCAAUAUGAUGCGCGAGACGUAUCGCGCAUUCCUUUGUCAGCCAUGUUGGAAUUUUACGUUCUUUUCGUCCAGUUCGGUUCGGUACAUUUAGAAUCAAAUAACGACAUUUGUUUGUGAUUCAUAAUUUCAGAGAAAUUCAUAACUUUCAAGAAGUGAGCAGUGAAAAGUGAUAAACGUCAAGACCUAAACUUGAAGCUCGUUUAUAGACUCCAAUAAGAGUUCCCGCGUUAAGAUAAUAACGUGAAUCACGUUAGCUGCGUAGUUAACAGAGUCGUAUUUUCGAUCGCAAAUUUCGAGAACGAAUGUGUAUAUUUUAUCUUUAUUUUGGAAAUGCUGACGAUUUUAAACGGAUAUAGGUUAAAUACACUUAAUAUCAUUACAUGCACGAACUACUGGCACAGCAUGUUUGCAAAGGAGAAUCUUCAUCGUGUAAAUAUUUAUCGAAUCGUGAUGAUUUGACAUCUCAUCGGAUGCGUUUAAAUUCGCCCCAGAAUCAGACGCCUCGAAUCCAGCCGGAAUUCCUCGACAAUCGCUUCCGAAUUUCUUCACGAGAACGAUGGAGGAGGGGGUUGCGGAUGGCAUCGAAUGGGAAGCGACAAUAAAACGCGAUCUUCACCACUGAGGUAAUCUCAAUUGGAGGUCGGCGGGGGGCAGCAGGGGCGAAGAAAAGGACCCUCGAAGAAAGCGCGAGCGGCACGCGUAUCCAGGGAUAUUUGUGACAGGGGGUGCAAAGUCACGGGCAACGGGAGGGCAGAGCUGUAUCGAAGGGAGGAUCGAUCCCCCGAGGCCGAUGGAGGAGCCGCAUUCCUGUGUAAGCGGCCCUCCUUCACGACCACUUUCUCCUCGCGAAAUAGCGAAACCCUUCGAAACGGACACGGCCAAGUCGCCCUGCGGGGGAUUCACAAUCCUUCAAAGUGGCAGAGAGGGAACGACUAAUCAACCCGGCCAUUGUCCGAAUCACGGUUUCCGGAAAUUAUUGUUACUCGUAUACGACGUAUUUAUCAUCUGGACCGAUUCGGAUGAGUUAUGUGAAAGAAGUUUAUGAGGUUGCAAAGGUCUCGACGAAUUAUCCUGUUGCAAUUGCGAUAAAUGGAUAAAAAAAUGGAUAAUCUUACGCGUGUAAUAAAGUAAAAUUAGAAAAUCAGAAAUGAUUGAGGAACCAUUGUAAGAUCUUUUUUUGAUUCGUUGUUUAAUCGAGUGAUAUUCUGUAUUGUUCGCGGUGCAAGUAUGGAUAUUGGAUGAAAAAAAAAGUUUUGGAUCUGUUCCCGUUUUACACAAUAUUGUUUUCCAACAGUUGUAAAUAGAGAAUUGUGUUGCUUCUUUUUUUCGUGUCUAUUCGCAACCAUUUAUUGAACAUUUUGACGCGAGGGAAGUUUCAAACUUUAAAAACUCACUUUAAAAAUGGAAAUAAGGACUUAUCGAUUCAAUAAAUACUGUUUAUCCUA